Molecule: long non-coding RNA, 3051 nt
Filed under: Sorghum bicolor (sorghum)
Lineage: Eukaryota; Viridiplantae; Streptophyta; Magnoliopsida; Poales; Poaceae
Description: long non-coding RNA (SBIC_LNC017104)
Source: RNAcentral
GCUACCUUUGUCUAUUUACGAGUAAGUGUUAGUUUGGAAGUACUGCACAUACUUCGAUUGGCUUUUAAAUUAAGCAUGGUGCUUAGGUUAAACAACCUUCCUUAAUCUGAUUAGACAUGGAGUCUAGUUCGGCUAUUGAACUAAAAAACUGCUUGUGUAGACAUUGGUAUAUUUUUGUCGGACUAACCCCUGUAGAAAAAAAAACUUUCAAUAUCGAUUUGGGAAGUCCUGAGAUAAACUCACAUCAGAGACAAAGAGAGUGACACAUGAAGUUUAGCAAUUUGCACAAGAAGGACAUAGCUCAUUCAUCAUAGAGAGAUGAUCCAUGGAGGGUGCCACAAACACGAUGCACAACCACUAUGAAAGGAAAGCUUCCUCAAGGUGAUACUGUACCAUCACUCUUCAAGCAAGGUAACAUCUUAAGGUACUUGACUAUCACUUUUAUAAGCUUCUCCUUAGUUCUAGCGUUCAUAUAAAUAAAAGAGACAAACAUGUAUGAUUUACAACUCUAGAUUAACCAACCCAACUGAUUCAACAUGUUUAGUCCUUUAAUCCUUGUUCUUAGUACUACCUCCAUGAUCCCACACUCCUAAUCAUAUGAGCUAAAAUGUUACACAUUCAAUCAUUGAGAGAUAUAAAGAAAAAAGACAUAUACAUAGAUAGAUUAUCUUUCCAUAAGGUUGAGCGAUCUGAUCUGACAAAUGUUAUAAGUGCUACACUCAUAAACUUUUCAUCCAUCAACUUUGUCUUGCUCACUAUGCUUAGGGUUAGAGAAGAACAAAUACACUUUAGGUUCUGUUGGUGUUUUCCACCAACAGGACCCAUGCACUUGAUCUCUGCCUUGUCUCUAUGAGCAGGUACACUUUGAGCAAAACACGGAGGAGUUUUAUAACUCUCAGACUCUACCAAAUGAAGGACCUGGAUCUACGAGCACAAACACACUGAGCAGGUUACUGCCAACGCCGCACUUCGAACUGCUGGGCAAACGAAGAACAUGGGUGACACUGUAUCAAGAGGUGCAGACGUCAAGGUCCGCACCUGAAUCAAAUGACGCACCUGAAAAAUGAACACGGUGAGAAGUCUUGUUAAGAAGACUUAAAACAUUGAACCAUCGCCGAAAGGUAAGAUCGGUAUCCUUUCUGCAUUCCCGUUUACCUUUAAUUAUUUACUUUCCUUAAAUAGAUUAUUAGUUAAUCAUGCUAUCUGGAAAAGAAAAUAAAAAUGUUAAAAAAUACUAAGCCCCAUGUGAGUAUACGAGUGGCAUAAAACCCAUAAGUACCUUCACUGUGGUGCAAUAAAAAUAAAAUAAAUAUUUCUUUUCUGCUUUAUAAAAUAAAAAUAUAAAAAUAGAGAGUAAUAUUUAUUGAGGAAGCUCAACAUGAUGAAGGCUAGAUAUUUAUGCUAACACUUAAUUAGUUCCACAAGCUUUGUUGUCUAUUUGAGCUCCACAAAAUUUAAGAAGACUAGCAGACGGAGGACAUUCUAAUCGCUGUCAGAAUGCUGCUGACUUUCAAAUACACCUCUGCCACCUGCUAGCUACAUCAAGAGAAAUUACGUCAAAAUUCAGCUUGGGGGAGAGCACCCCCAUUUAUCUCGCUAAGUAUUUCUACCUAUCUUUAUACUUAUAUUAUAUUAGAAUAUUAAAAUACAUAAACUAUGAAAAACCAAAUAAAGAUUUUGUGCUUAUAUAUAUCUUUUGCUUAGUAUGUUUAAUAAAUAAAUAAAGUGGCUAUGUUAAUCUGAAUCUUAAUAAUAAAACUCUAGCAUGGAUAUGAUGAAUAGUUGCUCUGCCUAAUUUGCAAAUUUGAAGUUCUCUCUCAAGUUUAGACAUAACUGUUAUAAUUUAAAGCUUGCUCUAGAUCUAAACUUGUGGGAUGAAACCUUGAUCUGACAUCUAAGUUGUUAACGGAUAUGAUAUGGGAAGGUUGAGCUGCUGUUUAUCUGUUCCUAGAGAUGCUAGAAUUCUGGAGAAUUUUAUCUUUGAAAAAUCUUUAAAAUAUUGCAUGAUGAGUUCCUGUAUGAUGAAAGUUUAAAUUCCUACCACAGCCAUAUAUACAUGCUUGCUAGACUUUGAGCCACACAUUUAUUAUUUAGUGCUUAUGAGCAUUGAGUGUGGUCAAGCUGUGUAGACCCUUAAGAGCUUGUCAUGUGGUUAAAUCAAGCUUCACUUGCACGUUCACUCAUAUAUGCUACUUCUACUCCGGAAGUACCAUCCACAUAUAUCCAUCCAUGUCCAUCUCCAGAACCACCCAAAAAUAUUCUACUCCAAAUCCGGGAGAGAAUAGCCGAAAAUAUUUUUGUUUUCCCUUGUGAAAUAAAUGCUCAAGUUAUCUUGCUACUACCACUUGCUAUAUUAUCUCAAGAGAUGAGUGCUCUGAAAAAAAAGAAAAAAAAAGAAGAAAAAAAAGAAGAAAAAAAAUAUACGAGGAAAUAAAAAGGGGCAAGUGCUCGGAACCUCGAAUGAAAAAAAAAGAGUGAGACGAGAGGUAAAAAUGGACAAGUGUCCGACAGUAGAAUUAGGGGUACAAGAUACCCACCUGAGAGGAAAGAAAAAGAAGAGCAUCUCAUUCUCCUCAUAAAGUUUCAAAAAGCAAGGAAGGUAUGUAUCCCCUCAAAAGAGCAAAAGUAGAAUUAGACUUCCACCAUUGUUAUCACCAUCAUCACCAUGCACCAUUCAUUCGCCACACAUGCACAUCUUGAUUUGGCUUAUUGAUUUGUUUCUUUGGAUCCAUGGUUUGACUAUACAAUAAAUGUCUUGUAAGUAUGUAUUAGUUGUCUCCCACCUAUGAGCUCCAGAUAUUAAAGCCUUAUUAGAGUAGGGUGAGAGAGAAGGCAAUGUCACUAUGCCUUAUACCACAAAUACCACAUAUCUUGAGAGAAGGCAUAUACCAUCACUGCCUUGGUAAGGAUCCAGAAAUACCACAAAAGAGAGAUUUAGAGAGUCAUACAAGGAAUCUCUGAGUUUUAUUUGAAAAUCUGCAAAAACUCCAGAGCUAUAGCUGAUCAAGAAUAAGAGACAUGGCACUUGGCUAGACUGUUGUAUCUUUUAAC